GGUCACAUCACGUUGAAACACCGGUUCCCGUACGAUCAUUGAAGUUAAGCAACAUCGAUCCUGGUCAGUAUAUAGGUGGGUGACCGCUUGAGAAUACCAGGUGUUGUAAG
Non-coding RNA from Acanthosepion pharaonis, 110 nucleotides. The record is from the annotation of a GenBank genome assembly. Lineage: Eukaryota; Metazoa; Mollusca; Cephalopoda; Sepiida; Sepiidae.